CCUACGGGAGGCAGCAGUGGGGAAUAUUGCGCAAUGGGCGAAAGCCUGACGCAGCGACGCCGCGUGAGGGAUGAAGGUCUUCGGAUCGGAAACCUCUGUCAGCAGGGAAGAACGGUCACGGUGGUAAUCAGCAGUGAAUGGACGGUACCUGCAAAGGAAGCACCGGCUAACUCCGUGCCAGCAGCCGCGGUAAGACGGAGGGGGCGAGCGUUAAUCGGACUUACGGGGCCUAAAGCGCGCGUAGGCGGUAUGUCAAGUCAAGGGUGAAAUCCCCGCGCUCAACGUGGGAACUGCCUUUGAAACUGGCAGACUGGAGUGUGUGAGAGGAUAGUGGAAUUCCAGGUGUAGCCGU
RNAcentral lists this ribosomal RNA (352 nucleotides) under uncultured bacterium. Its description in RNAcentral is "partial 16S ribosomal RNA". It matches the Rfam family "Bacterial small subunit ribosomal RNA", at positions 338 to 682 of the family's 1533-position model. The record is from RNAcentral.